GUCCAAGUAAUUUAACAAAAAUAUUGGCCUUGUAAGCCAACAACAAAGGAAAAAUCCUUCCUAGGACA
Transfer RNA from Monodelphis domestica (gray short-tailed opossum), 68 nucleotides. It matches the Rfam family "tRNA". Rfam says of the family: Transfer RNA (tRNA) molecules are approximately 80 nucleotides in length. The record is from Rfam. Lineage: Eukaryota; Metazoa; Chordata; Mammalia; Didelphimorphia; Didelphidae.